This 253-nucleotide ribosomal RNA is filed under the name uncultured bacterium. Its description in RNAcentral is "partial 16S ribosomal RNA". It matches the Rfam family "Bacterial small subunit ribosomal RNA", at positions 524 to 776 of the family's 1533-position model. The record is from RNAcentral.
UACAGAGGUCCCAAGCGUUGUUCGGAUUUACUGGGCGUAAAGCGCACGUAGGCGGAUUGUUAAGUCAGGGGUGAAAUCCUGGAGCUCAACUCCAGAACUGCCUUUGAUACUGGCAAUCUCGAGUCCGGAAGAGGUGAGUGGAACUCCUAGUGUAGAGGUGGAAUUCGUAGAUAUUAGGAAGAACACCAGUGGCGAAGGCGGCUCACUGGUCCGGUACUGACGCUGAGGUGCGAAAGCGUGGGGAGCAAACAGG